ACUCCUACGGGAGGCAGCAGUGGGAAUAUUGGACAAUGGGGGACCCGUAGCUCCAGCCAUGCCGCGUGUGUGAAGAAGGCCUUAUGGUUGUAAAGCACUUUAAGCGAGGAGGAGGCUACUGAGACUAAUACUCUUGGAUAGUGGACGUUACUCGCAGAAUAAGCACCGGCUAACUCUGUGCCAGCAGCCGCGGUAAUACGGGGUGG
RNAcentral lists this ribosomal RNA (206 nucleotides) under uncultured bacterium. RNAcentral's name for it is "partial 16S ribosomal RNA". It matches the Rfam family "Bacterial small subunit ribosomal RNA", at positions 335 to 532 of the family's 1533-position model. The record is from RNAcentral.